AUGGAAUCACGGCGGGGAGGGGACCGCGCUGCCCCUGCUUUGGCGAUGCGCUUUGGCGGUGCCAAGCACGCACUGAGCCGCAAUCACAGCAACGAGGAGCAGCAACAACCCAGGAGCCAACGCCACAGCCAACCCCACGGCUGGCAGCUGCUGCACCUCCCGGCCCCGCACAGCCCCCCCUGCAUCCCAGCACCGCGCUGCGUCCUCGAAAGGAAUUCCAGCGGCUGCUCCGGAGCUUCCCCAGCGAUCGCUGCCUCCUGGCAGCACCCGCGCGCGGUGCCCAGCGCUGACCAACGCCCGCUCCCACGCGCGGCCCCGCUGCCACCUGCGGGGUUUGGGACCCGGAGCUGCGCCCGCUGCUCAAUGAUGGGAGCCGCUCUCACGGUCCUGCCGGCUCCCAAAAGUUAUCCGCGCUGGAAGGCAAAACGACGGCAGGGCACGGGGAGGGGGAGCGCGGCGCGGCCGUUGGGACUUCCCGCUGAGCAUCACCGCCGGCACCCGGCCCGGAUGGGGAAGUUCUGCGAUUCUGUCCCCGGGGCCAAACUUCGCCCUCCUCCUCUGCUUUCCCCCCACGCCCCCCGGUGCCCGCAGUGCCCCUCCGCCCACCGGGCAGCACCGACCCUCGCCCACCCGCGGGGCAGCAGCCGUGCGCGGAGCUCCCCAUCCGCGGGCGGGGUGGGAUGCUGGGGUCCGGAGGCCCCGGUUCGUACCUGCGGCUGUGGGCCGGGCCGGGCCGGGCGGGUCGGGAGACGGCGGGUGCGGCGUUGGGGCCCGCAGGGCGCUCGGGGACUUUUGUUGGCGGCGAGGGGAGGCGGCGCUUCGCGCUCAGCGCCAGCACGGCCUGAUGUCACUGCCCCGGGCGGAGGAGGAGGAGGAGGAAGAGGAAGGCACGGCGGCCGUCAGCCUCGCGGCGCCCAUCACGGCACGAUGCCACCCCCAGCGCUCCCAGCGUCACCCCCGGCGCUCUCUGCCACCUCGCUGCCACCCGCUGUCCCCUCUGCUCCCACACGCAGCACCCCGCGCUGCCCAACCAUCACCCAGCACCCACCGCUGCACCGCAUCCCUCAGUGCCACAUCCGCACAGCUCCGACACUGGGAGCUCCACCCCCUCCCUCAGUCAGCCCGUGCCAACGCUCGGACAUCCUCUCUGCAAAUAAAUGCUCCCUAACAUUCAAUUUAAACCUCCCAUCCAAAGGGGCCUGA
Molecule: long non-coding RNA, 1203 nt
Filed under: Phasianus colchicus (ring-necked pheasant)
Lineage: Eukaryota; Metazoa; Chordata; Aves; Galliformes; Phasianidae
Description: lncRNA (ENSPCLG00000016342.1)
Source: RNAcentral